Molecule: non-coding RNA, 961 nt
Organism: Bactrocera oleae (olive fruit fly)
Lineage: Eukaryota; Metazoa; Arthropoda; Insecta; Diptera; Tephritidae
Source: RefSeq, a predicted model, not a curated record
AAAAUACUCAAAAUUGUUUGACAUAUACGUCAUUCUCAAAUUUUUAAAUAAAAAUUAAAAAAAAAAAAAUUUAUAAUCAAAUUAUCCUCGUAAAAUUCUUUUAAAAACGCUCUAACCAUUUACUGUGAUUUCUAAAUCUUGUUAAACCUUUUUCGGGCGAAUUCAAAAUCUUCUUGAACAUUUUGUGUUUAUCGCAACAUUUAUAAGGCCUUACAAUCAAUAGCUUGCGGUAGUUUUUUGUCUAAGGUUCCUAUUUUUCAACUCUAUAUUGGGCGCUAUGUAGAUAAGUUUCCAAAAAAUUGAUAUACAUUUAUACGACUCGACAAAGGAUUUACCAUAUUGGAAGGACCUGUUAGUACAACUGCUUGUUUUAAGCAGAGGUUGGAGAUAUCUCCUGAUCCUAAGCAAAAUAAAAAAUUUUAACAAAAGAUGAUAGUUAGACAAAUAGCGCGCAAAGUGAAGGUGUAAAUAAAAUCAUAAGAGCAGUUUGAAACCUUGUUAAUUCAUCUAUCUCCAUAUAAAUAUCCUUCUCGAAUACAAAACCUAUAUGCAUGAGCAUUGACGCAGCUAAUUUCUACAUUGUUCGCACCCUUGUCCAAACUUCAAAACCCACACCGCGGCUACGUGUGAUUAUUGCGCAGCUCAAUGUCAAGUGCUGGGGUAGUAAUUGUCACCCUUCUCACAGGAUUACUUACGCCUCAAAAGUGCAAAUAAUAAAUAAAAGAUGAAUCUAAUGAUUUAAAUUAAAAAUUGAAAAAAAUACAAAACUUUACAACCCCUGCAAAGUGAUUUUUGCAAUAAAUGCACGGAACAGCUUAAAGGGGCUGGUGCAAGAAUGAACAAAAGGGGGACUUUUCUGCGACUAAAUUGCCAUAGAAGAAAUUUAGAUUUUUUUGUGAAAAAAUGAGAAUGAACGACUGCAUAAAUCGGUUUAAUUUUGCAAGAAUAAAAAAUGUAAAAA